AACCUUAUCCUCUUCCUCUCUCUCUGAGAUGGAUUAGAAUCUGGAACCGAAUCAGCAACAUCCAUCAGAUUUGAAAUCACUGAAAUCAAAAAAUGAAGAGGGAAGAGACAGAGAGAUUAGGAUACCUUCGUCUUCUUUCAGAUCUUGAUGGAGUCUCAAGAGAGCUUUUGCUCCUUGGCCUGAUGCUCCAUCAGGACAUUGGAGUCAAUUAGGGCACAAUUUUUGGUCAAAAUUAGCCGGUUUGAGUGAGAAAAAUGACCUUUCGCUUCCAGCGGAUAGCGUCGGAAUUCUGAGAAGGAGAUCUUUGAAGACGCUUUCAUCGGAGAAGUGAGAUCGUCACCACCAUUCUGAGCGAGUCGUCCGGCGGUGCUGAUUUUGCGGCCGCUCGCUGCUUGACAUUCUCCUCCAUAGCUGUGUAACUAAGAAGUAACAGCAAAGGAACCUGUCAUAGGAAGUGAGCAGAGAAGAAAUCUUAAAGAUAUCAGGAGAAUUCGUAGGAGGAAGACGAAGAGAAAUGAGGAGCUUUGCAGUGAGCUCCUGGUGUUUGUCGCCGCCGUUGGACUUCCACAAGGUUAUGUGCCCUCCAUGAAAGAGCUCUCGCAGCACUGAAGGAAUAUUGGUGGAAAUAAAGUUUCUUUGAAUGCUGUACCUCAAAAGGAAGUUAAAUCCCAUCGGAGUUUAGAGCAAAACAAGGAGCUGCAAGGCAAUUUGAAAAUAGAAACUAGGCUGAUUGUUGAUGGUAGUGUGAAGAUGCCACAAAACCUUCCCUUGAAGCGAAAAUCAUUUGAGGUCAUAUAUAUACUUAAACCCGCAAUUUAGUGUAGAUCUUUUCCCAUGUUUGAGAAUGUAUCAUGCGUAUAACAUUCCAAAUCGGAGCUUCUACUUAUUCUGUUCAAAUACUUUAUGAAAUUUUUAAUUGCUAUUUCCAAAUUUCUUAUAAAUCCACGUUAACUUUGCAAGGAUUAAAUCCAGGUUCAAGAUCCUUGAAGUUUCUAAAACGUCUCUCUAACUAAAGGAGCUUAUGAAAUAAAGGCACGCCCAUGGUUUAAAGGGUUAGAAUAGGAUAAACUAUAUCAGAUGGAAGCUGCUUUUACACCAGAGGUUAACAAUGAGUUAGAUACUCAAAACUUUGAGAAGUUUGAAGAGUUGGGGGCUUCAGUAGAAACUCCACCAAAAUCUGGUCCAUGGAGAAAGGCAAGUACUAUAUAAUUUACUAAGCAUCUUUUAUUUUUCCCACUUAAGACAGCCUUUUCUUUUGUAGACUGUUGACUUGUGAAUUAUUACCUUAUAUUCAUUUCGAAUGCUGUCAUCUAUGGAUACAAAUUUUGUUGGUUAUACGUAUUGUCAAUGAACAUCACAUGCUUGGGAUUGGUAAGUAUUGAUGCAUCUGAAUCAAUAGCAUGAUUAUUCUUGAAUAUCCGUUGAAAUCUCUAAUGAAGAUUCUUACCGAUGAAUGAAAACUUUUGAUGCGGCUGAGUUGAAGAAAAAGACUAACAAGCCAAAGACACCUUCUGUUAAGGCAUUAUUUAGUAUGUGCUCCUUGCAUUCAGUGUUUUAGGAAAGUGAAGCAAUUUUUUGAACUGCUCAUUAUUACUAGCUAUGAUAGGUCUUUUGUUUCAGAUGAGUGGAGCCACUUUGUUCAAUCUCUCUAUUCUUACAUCUGAUAUGUGGGUUUUGGUUGUUCGCAUCUUGUUCUACCACCAGGAGGUACUUUAUUGAUCUGAUAAUUCUUUAGUGAGUCUCAUUCUUUUCUUCUUUCAAUUGUUUCCAAUGGUAUCAUGGUCUUUUAGUACUUCAGAUUUUCUUAAUUUUCUUUAUACAAUUAUACUAUAUCUAAAUAUUGAAUUACUGAGUUUCCAUUUGCUGCUCUCACUCAGUUUCAUUCUUGUGAAUUUUGCAAGAUGAAUAUUAAGUUCUUGAAUCAUUUUUUGGGUUUAGUCAUUGUUGAUUUAGGUAAUAGAAAAAAUGGUAGGUGCUUAUGAGGCGAUCUCUGUUGCUAUCUAUCAUUUUAUAAUAUGCGGCUUCUCUUAUGUUGUUGCUUGUCUAUACAUUGUUUCAGUCUUAGUGCUUUGUGACUUAUGUGAGUAUUGAUGUCAUCCAUUUCAAAGAAGGCUUGCAGCUGUGGGGAGGAAGAGCCUUAGUACUGAUGCUUAAUUUUUGAUGUGUAACUAUCAUAUCUUUGUAAUAGUUUUAUUUGUUAGCUUAGUUUUAAAGUUUGCUACUUUGAAUGGUGUAUCUAUAAUGAUAUUGAACUCGUUUGAGGCAUUGAAUAUAAAUACAAGAUU
This is a long non-coding RNA of Argentina anserina (silverweed cinquefoil), 2285 nucleotides long. RefSeq lists it as uncharacterized. Lineage: Eukaryota; Viridiplantae; Streptophyta; Magnoliopsida; Rosales; Rosaceae. The transcript has 5 exons. The record is from RefSeq and is a predicted model, not a curated record.